UCUCAGGGUGUCAGGUGAUGACAGGUGAAUUGUCAGGUGAUGUUGUAAUGAAGCUUGCCUCCACAUUUCCAAAGGGUCAACACAACAAGAUCUAGGCAGAUAAUUACUUCACCUCCGUUCCACUGGUAGUGAAGCUCCUUGAGCAAGGAAUCCAUUAUGUGGGAAAGGCCAGGCAAGUGCAUCUACCCAUCUAACUGUAACAUUUACAUGUGAAGAGCUUGAAGAAGAAGGGCAGAGGAAGCUUUGACCACAGAGUGGAGGGGAAACAACAUCUGUGCAGUAAAAAUGGUACAACAACAGGGCGGUGACACUUGUGUCAUCCUUCGCUGGACCAGAACCUGUUCAGGAGAUUCAACACUGGGACAAAGCCGCCAAAACCUACAUUGACGUUAGAAAGGCUUCCAUUGUGGGCAUCUACAAUAAAUACAUGGGAGGUGUGGAUUUGUUGGACUCAUUUACAGCAAAACACAAGUAUGCACUGAAAUCCUGGCGGUGGUACAUGUACAUCUUCUGGCACACAAUCACCCUUGCUGUAGUCAACGCCUGGCUCCUCUACAAGCAGCACAGCCUAUGCUCUCAGAAUGCCAAAGAAGGAGAUACUGAACAUGAGAAAGUUCGAAGCACAGCUGGCUUCCUCUCUCAUUACGAGGACAGGAACCAUUUCUGGGAUUACCACUAUAAGUAAAGGUGGACUUCACGCUGAGCACACAGAUUUCAGUGGAGAGUGAGAGAACACUGCAGACAUUGCACUGUUAACAAUCUUGAUGGGCACCUCUUCGGACCUGACGUGCUACCCAGCUACGCAAACGCAGCUAAGUGGAUGUACUCUCUUGUGAUUGGCCAGAGUGAUCACGAGUCUACGGAUGUUUGGGUCUCAUUGCUGAAAGAGUGCAUGAAUCGGUGGAAAAACCCCAGCCCCCCUGUGCUGCCAGCUUCUCCAAGCCCCGUGCUCCCUCUUUUGCCAAAACCACCCUGAGAACGACCAACAACUGGCUGAAGGAAGAGCUGCAACAGGUUAACGAAAGGCAGAAAGCAACGAAGGAGUGCCUGCUCAGAUGCAUUCUGUUUAGUUUUGCUUUUUAACUUUAUAGU
This is a long non-coding RNA of Carassius gibelio (silver crucian carp), 1092 nucleotides long. RefSeq lists it as uncharacterized. The transcript has 3 exons. Lineage: Eukaryota; Metazoa; Chordata; Actinopteri; Cypriniformes; Cyprinidae. The record is from RefSeq and is a predicted model, not a curated record.